RNAcentral lists this ribosomal RNA (2909 nucleotides) under Enterococcus faecium. RNAcentral's name for it is "23S ribosomal RNA". It matches the Rfam family "Bacterial large subunit ribosomal RNA". The record is from RNAcentral. Lineage: Bacteria; Bacillati; Bacillota; Bacilli; Lactobacillales; Enterococcaceae.
UUAAGUGAAUAAGGGCGCACGGUGGAUGCCUUGGCACUAGGAGCCGAUGAAGGACGGGACUAACACCGAUAUGCUUUGGGGAGCUGUACGUAAGCUAUGAUCCAGAGAUUUCCGAAUGGGGGAACCCAACAUCUUUAAUAGGAUGUUACGAUUGUGUGAAUACAUAGCACAUUCGAGGUAGACGCAGAGAACUGAAACAUCUAAGUACCUGCAGGAAGAGAAAGAAAAUUCGAUUCCCUGAGUAGCGGCGAGCGAAACGGGAAAAGCCCAAACCAGCAAGCUUGCUUGUUGGGGUUGUAGGACUCCAAUAUGGUAGUUCUUUCAGAUAGUCGAAUGACUUGGAAAAGUCAGUCAAAGAGGGUAAAAACCCCGUAGACGAAAUGUGGAAGACACCUAGGAGGAUCCUGAGUACGGCGGAACACGAGAAAUUCCGUCGGAAUCCGGGAGGACCAUCUCCCAAGGCUAAAUACUCCCUAGUGACCGAUAGUGAACCAGUACCGUGAGGGAAAGGUGAAAAGCACCCCGGAAGGGGAGUGAAAUAGAACCUGAAACCGUGUGCCUACAACAAGCACGAAAUUCCUUAUUCAGAAGUGCGCACGUUCUAUAAAACAGUCUUCAAAGUCUUAGAAGAUAUCGAAAAGCAACGAAGAGACGGAGCCGCAGCGAAAGCGAGUCUGAAUAGGGCGUUUGAGUAUGUAGUCGUAGACCCGAAACCAUGUGAUCUACCCAUGUCCAGGUUGAAGGUGCGGUAAAACGCACUGGAGGACCGAACCCACGUACGUUGAAAAGUGCGGGGAUGAGGUGUGGGUAGCGGAGAAAUUCCAAACGAACUUGGAGAUAGCUGGUUCUCUCCGAAAUAGCUUUAGGGCUAGCCUCGGAAUUGAGAAUGAUGGAGGUAGAGCACUGUUUGGACUAGGGGCCCAUCUCGGGUUACCGAAUUCAGAUAAACUCCGAAUGCCAUUCAUUCAUAUCCGGGAGUCAGACUGUGAGUGAUAAGAUCCAUAGUCGAAAGGGAAACAGCCCAGACCACCAGCUAAGGUCCCAAAAUAUAUGUUAAGUGGAAAAGGAUGUGGGGUUGCACAGACAACUAGGAUGUUGGCUUAGAAGCAGCCACCAUUUAAAGAGUGCGUAAUAGCUCACUAGUCGAGUGACCCUGCGCCGAAAAUGUACCGGGGCUAAACAUAUUACCGAAGCUGUGGAGUACACCUUUAGGUGUAUUGGUAGGAGAGCGUUCUAAGGGCGUUGAAGGCAGAUCGUGAGGACUGCUGGAGCGCUUAGAAGUGAGAAUGCCGGUAUGAGUAGCGAAAGACAGGUGAGAAUCCUGUGAUAUAUUUUGAUAACAGUGCAACAACCCCAAUCUUUCCGCAAAGCUAGUCGGGACCUAAGCCGAGGCCGACAGGCGUAGGCGAUGGAUAACAGGUUGAUAUUCCUGUACCCGUUGUUUUUGUUUGAGCAAUGGAGGGACGCAGGAGGCUAAGGAAUGCAGACGAUCGGAAAUGUCUGUCCAAGCAGUAAGUCUGAAGAGGAGUCAAAUGCUUCUUUUCUUAAGGACAAGCUGUGAUGGGGAGGGAAAUAAUAGUACCGAAGUUCCUGAUGUCACACUGCCGAGAAAAGCUUCUAGUGAGAAAACAGCGGCCCGUACCGCAAACCGACACAGGUAGUCGAGGAGAGAAUCCUAAGGUGAGCGAGAGAACUCUCGUUAAGGAACUCGGCAAAAUGACCCCGUAACUUCGGGAGAAGGGGUGCUGAUCAUACGAUCAGCCGCAGUGAAUAGGCCCAAGCGACUGUUUAUCAAAAACACAGGUCUCUGCAAAAUCGUAAGAUGAAGUAUAGGGGCUGACGCCUGCCCGGUGCUGGAAGGUUAAGAGGAGUGCUUAGCGCAAGCGAAGGUACGAAUUGAAGCCCCAGUAAACGGCGGCCGUAACUAUAACGGUCCUAAGGUAGCGAAAUUCCUUGUCGGGUAAGUUCCGACCCGCACGAAAGGCGUAACGAUUUGGGCACUGUCUCAACGAGAGACUCGGUGAAAUUUUAGUACCUGUGAAGAUGCAGGUUACCCGCGACAGGACGGAAAGACCCCAUGGAGCUUUACUGUAGUUUGAUAUUGAGUGUCUGUACCGCAUGUACAGGAUAGGUAGGAGCCGUAGAAAUCGGAACGCUAGUUUCGAUGGAGGCGCUGGUGGGAUACUACCCCUGCGUUAUGGCCACUCUAACCCGCACCACUAAUCGUGGUGGGAGACAGUGUCAGAUGGGCAGUUUGACUGGGGCGGUCGCCUCCUAAAAGGUAACGGAGGCGCCCAAAGGUUCCCUCAGAAUGGUUGGAAAUCAUUCGAAGAGUGUAAAGGCAGAAGGGAGCUUGACUGCGAGACCAACAAGUCGAGCAGGGACGAAAGUCGGGCUUAGUGAUCCGGUGGUUCCGCAUGGAAGGGCCAUCGCUCAACGGAUAAAAGCUACCCUGGGGAUAACAGGCUUAUCUCCCCCAAGAGUCCACAUCGACGGGGAGGUUUGGCACCUCGAUGUCGGCUCGUCGCAUCCUGGGGCUGUAGUCGGUCCCAAGGGUUGGGCUGUUCGCCCAUUAAAGCGGCACGCGAGCUGGGUUCAGAACGUCGUGAGACAGUUCGGUCCCUAUCCGUCGCGGGCGUUGGAAAUUUGAGAGGAGCUGUCCUUAGUACGAGAGGACCGGGAUGGACUUACCGCUGGUGUACCAGUUGUUCUGCCAAGGGCAUUGCUGGGUAGCUAUGUAGGGAAGGGAUAAACGCUGAAAGCAUCUAAGUGUGAAGCCCACCUCAAGAUGAGAUUUCCCAUUUCUUUAAGAAAGUAAGAUUCCUGAGAGAUGAUCAGGUAGAUAGGUCAGGAGUGGAAGUACAGUGAUGUAUGGAGCGGACUGAUACUAAUCGAUCGAGGACUUAACC